Long non-coding RNA from Heterocephalus glaber (naked mole-rat), 747 nucleotides. NCBI's taxonomy places the organism in Eukaryota, Metazoa, Chordata, Mammalia, Rodentia, Bathyergidae. The record is from Ensembl.
GAUUUUCCCACUCUUUCUGUUUAAGUAAUUUGUAAAAAACUACCAUAGACUUAACAGUCUAAAACAAGUUUACUCAUUUCUGGCUCUGGUGGGCAGAGGUCUACAAUGAAGUGUUCACAGGCCUGUUCUCUUUCAAGAAUCAAUUUGUUGGCUUUUCCAAUUGCAUUCUUUGAUUUGAGGCCCCUUUCUCCUUCAAAACACAUCACUUAAUCGUUUUGCCAUCACAUCUCCAUCUGUCUGAUAUGGAUCCUCUGUUCCUCUUUACAGUGUGAUCGCAUUGGGCCACUUGGACAAUCUUGGAGUCUCCCCAUCUCACGAUCCUUAACUGCAUUACAUUUGCAAAGACCCUUCUACCAUGUAAAGCAACAUAUUCAUGGGCUCUGAGAAUUGGGAAGUGGAUAUAUUUGGGGAAGUCGAUUUUUAUCCUACCAGAGAUUUGCAUCCUGUACAUUUUGAAUGUUUAGAAACAAGAUUUCUAAACUCUGCUAAAGUCUACUGGAAAAAAUGGAUUUGUUUGUUAAGCAGGCUCAUGGCUGCGGCUUGUCCAGGAUGCACUCAGAAGAGAUUAAAAAGGGGAAAAAUGAGGAGACCACCCACAUCUUCUGCCCCAGAAGGGUCCCUCCUUCCAGUCUUCUGAGCAGAAAAGGAAAGUUUCUCCUGGAGCUUUCUCCAUCAGUGCCUGCUGUGCAAUUCUGGGAUUUGGGCCACCUGGAGACUGAGCUGGGAGAAUUGAAAGCUAAAGAAAAU